RNAcentral lists this ribosomal RNA (490 nucleotides) under uncultured bacterium. Its description in RNAcentral is "partial 16S ribosomal RNA". It matches the Rfam family "Bacterial small subunit ribosomal RNA", at positions 30 to 507 of the family's 1533-position model. The record is from RNAcentral.
AUUGAACGCUGGCGGCAUGCUUUACACAUGCAAGUCGGACGGCAGCACAGGGGAUUGUACUUCGUGGGUGGCGGCGAACGAGCGGGUGAUUAAUAUGUCCGUACGCACCGAGUAGUGGGGGAUAGCUGAUAGCCGGAUUAACUACUCCCACAUUCUCUCGGAGGAGGAGAGGAGGCGACCUUCCGGCCUUGCGUGAUUCGAGCGGUCGAUAUCUGAUUAGCUAGUUGGUGGGGUAAAGGCCUACCAAGGCGACGAUCAGUAGCUGGUCUGAAAGGAUGAUCAGCCACACUGGGACUGAGACACGGCCCAGACUCCUACGGGAGGCAGCAGUGGGGAAUUUUGGACAGUGGGCGCAAGCCUGAUCCAGCAAUGCCGCGUGUGUGAAGAAGGCCUUCGGGUUGUAAAGGACUUUUGUCAGGAAAGAAAAGCUUGGUGCUAAUACCGACAGCUGAUGACGGUACCGGAAGAAUAAGCACCGGCUAACUACGUG